Molecule: long non-coding RNA, 773 nt
Filed under: Nicotiana benthamiana
Lineage: Eukaryota; Viridiplantae; Streptophyta; Magnoliopsida; Solanales; Solanaceae
Description: long non-coding RNA (NBEN_LNC008548)
Source: RNAcentral
AGGCACAUAUCAUUGUUGCACUCAUAUCUUUUUAAAAAAAAAAAAUAAUUUAAACCUAGAUGGAGGCUGAUUCUUACAUGUUUGGGCCAUACAAGAUUGACAAAACAGAAGUCUUCUACUCCACUGAUUUGUCCUAUGCCUUGGUCAACCUCCGUCCCCUUCUUCCUGGUAAUUCUUACUCCAUCCGUUUUAAUUAUGUGAACCCAUUUGAUUUUGGGUAUGAAGUUUAAGAAAAGAGAAACCAAGGUAUAUCAAAUCCCACCUUCCUUUUUUCUUUCACUCAUCAAUUUUACUAGCUGUUUCCCCAGGCACAUAUCAUUGUUGCACUCAUAUUAUUAUUAUUUUCCAAAUUUAAACCCAGAUGGAGGCUGAUUAUUACAUGUUUGGGCCAUACAAGAUUGACAAAAAAGAAGUCUUUUACUCCACUGAUUUGUCCUAUGCCUUGGUCAACCUCCGUCCCCUUCUUCCUGGUAAUUCUUAUUUAUGUCUUUACCUGAAAAAUUGCAUAUGCUAGUAAAGAUCAUCUUCUCUCACUUUCUUUCUCCACUGAACUGAAAUUAUAUUUCUGGUAUUUUUUUAUUCGUAACCUUGGAUUUCCCCCCCUAAUUUUCUUUAAUUAGUAAUAAGCACACGUUAUUUUUGACUGAAACUUUAACCCUUGAUAGAAGGAGUGAUGCAUCCAGGAGCUGUACUCAAUACACAUAAUAACUAACACCAUUCAUUUGGAUGGUUGGAAAAUGGUAGAGCAAGCUUUGACAGUAAAAAGACAGGAG